GAUUAGAGUUUAUAAUAAUUAUACAAAAUGUUUACAAACAUUUUCAAAUGCUAAUAAAAGAAUCCCCACUCUCCCUCCUCAUUACAUUGUUAUUUUGCUUUCUAACAUAAAUGUUUUUGUUUAUAGAUUAAUGCAAGAAUGAUGAAUAAAUGUACUGGAUAUUGGCUAGAUAAUUUGUCAGAACAACCCACUUGCAAGACAAUCUUACCUAAAUUCAUUAGUAUGGAUAAUAACUUAACAGCAACCAAUAAUCAUAUAUUAUAUGGAUGAAUCAGAUCAAUGGCACACAAUAUGUACAAAACUAAACUUGUGAUAUCUUCUACUCAAACCGAUAUUCUCCCACAACACAAAUUGUUUUUGUGUGGAUAUGCUGUGUUAAACCGAACAGUGUGGUAUAUCAUAUUUAACUGUGCACAGGAUUUGAACUGAAUUAUAUACUUCACUCAUGACCUUCAAAACAUUCUCUACUAUUCAGUGGUCUUCGAUAUAUGAUUGACUCUUUGCUACAGUAAUGCAUGUUCCUCGAAUAGUUUGUGUAUGUUACUCAACAGUUAACGUUGGCAAGUGUAAACAACAAGUGACAGAACUUUUGCUUCAUAUGAUUACAAUAAAGUUUUGAAAAUUUGAGUAUGGAUUGAAUUCACGAGUGGCAGUUUACUAAACAGCCGGCUGUAUAGACACUUCAAAUAUUGUUUGCAUGAAAUUUUUAUUUCCUUACUGCAUAAUUAUCCGUUACAAUAUAAUCACAUUAUAAAAUUAGCUAAAUUUUGUAUUAUGUUUGACUUUAAAAUCUCAUUUGCUAUUAUAUUUAUUAUAAUAAGUGAUGAAAUGUUUAAAUUGCCCCAUGUCAUCUUCAUUAUUCAGUUCCUUUCAACAAAAAUACAAAAUGUGAAUCAAGUUUUUUCGCAGAUACAUGUAUGCGUCGCGUACCUAUUUUUUCUUCUAUUGCAUAAGCUUGUUGGCGAGCCAAACGAUUGGCGACAACAGGUACGUUGGCUAUAUCCUCGUCUUUCUUGUUUAAAUAAAGAGCUCUGACUCAACUGUGAUUCUUUAGUCUCGCAAGUUAUUUUCUUUGUAGAAACACCCGCUUCUGUUUAAUAGUUGUUUACGCUUUAUUGAUCUGAUGCAAUUUUUCGCCCUUUGUUUUGAGUGUAGCCAUCUAUUCUGUGUAGCACCUUAUACAGUCAAUGUAUAAUGAAUACUCGCGUACGGUCUAAAUAAUAUCGAUAGGCACUUAAUUGAAUGCUGGUAAUGCAUAACAUCAAUUAUAUAUUGCGUAGAAUCGGCAAAGUUUUCUCAAUAUUCAUGUCUGAAAAUUAAAUGUUUAUAUAUUUGAAAACAACACUGUCUCGCUCCUUCCUACGUGCUACCCCUGUAUAAUAAAUAUACCGUGAAAAUAAUAUCGGCACUCAAUUGAAUGCCUAGAGGCUGGAAUCUCAAAGAUUUUCGACUCAAUAUUUUAUACGUCUGAAGUAUUUAUACACUUGAAAAAAAGUCCUGUCUAGCUCCUUCCUAGCUCUGUAUAAUGACCGUCUAAAUAAUAUUGGCACUUAGUUAAUUGAAUGUCCGUAAUGCAUAACAUCAAUUUAUAUAUUGCGUAGAUUCUAUAUAAAGAUUUACUCAAUAUUCACGUCUGAAAUGUUUAUACAUUUGAAAACAACACUAGUGUCGC
This is a non-coding RNA of Paramuricea clavata, 1672 nucleotides long. The record is from the annotation of a GenBank genome assembly. NCBI's taxonomy places the organism in Eukaryota, Metazoa, Cnidaria, Anthozoa, Malacalcyonacea, Plexauridae.